This 381-nucleotide ribosomal RNA is filed under the name Triticum aestivum (bread wheat). Its description in RNAcentral is "partial small subunit ribosomal RNA". Lineage: Eukaryota; Viridiplantae; Streptophyta; Magnoliopsida; Poales; Poaceae. The record is from RNAcentral.
AUGCCCGGCUUCAACGAGGUGGUCCAAAUGGCGUGGAACGAACGGGUUGACCAUACCGAUCCCUAUCAAAUCAUCUUCCACAAGCUCAAAAAGACGGCGAUCCGCCUCUCCAAAUGGAGUAGGGGCCUUUUCUCCAAGGCUAAAAUCCAUCUCCAAUCCGCUCUUUUGGUGCUUCUUCGCCUCGACAUCGCCCAAGAGGAUAGGCCUCUCUCGCCCGAGGAGCGUGACCUACGGGCUAGGCUUAAGAGAAGGGUCAUUGCUUUGGCCGUGAUCAAGAGAUCGCGCAAGAAACAAUCUCAUGCUUCACUUGCAAUACAAGGUGUGCUGUUUCUUUUAUCUAAUGAAGCAAUUGAUCCAUCUGCGACAAACACACCGGUGUAA